CUGAAACCGUGUACGUACAAGCAGUGGGAGCACGCUUCGGCGUGUGACUGCGUACCUUUUGUAUAAUGGGUCAGCGACUUAUAUUCUGUAGCAAGGUUAACCGAAUAGGGGAGCCGAAGGGAAACCGAGUCUUAACUGGGCGUUAAGUUGCAGGGUAUAGACCCGAAACCCGGUGAUCUAGCCAUGGGCAGGUUGAAGGUUGGGUAACACUAACUGGAGGACCGAACCGACUAAUGUUGAAAAAUUAGCGGAUGACUUGUGGCUGGGGGUGAAAGGCCAAUCAAACCGGGAGAUAGCUGGUUCUCCCCGAAAGCUAUUUAGGUAGCGCCUCGUGAAUUCAUCUCCGGGGGUAGAGCACUGUUUCGGCAAGGGGGUCAUCCCGACUUACCAACCCGAUGCAAACUGCGAAUACCGGAGAAUGUUAUCACGGGAGACACACGGCGGGUGCUAACGUCCGUCGUGAAGAGGGAAACAACCCAGACCGCCAGCUAAGGUCCCAAAGUCAUGGUUAAGUGGGAAACGAUGUGGGAAGGCCCAGACAGCCAGGAUGUUGGCUUAGAAGCAGCCAUCAUUUAAAGAAAGCGUAAUAGCUCACUGGUCGAGUCGGCCUGCGCGGAAGAUGUAACGGGGCUAAACCAUGCACCGAAGCUGCGGCAGCGACACUAUGUGUUGUUGGGUAGGGGAGCGUUCUGUAAGCCUGUGAAGGUGUACUGUGAGGUAUGCUGGAGGUAUCAGAAGUGCGAAUGCUGACAUAAGUAACGAUAAAGCGGGUGAAAAGCCCGCUCGCCGGAAGACCAAGGGUUCCUGUCCAACGUUAAUCGGGGCAGGGUGAGUCGACCCCUAAGGCGAGGCCGAAAGGCGUAGUCGAUGGGAAACAGGUUAAUAUUCCUGUACUUGGUGUUACUGCGAAGGGGGGACGGAGAAGGCUAUGUUGGCCGGGCGACGGUUGUCCCGGUUUAAGCGUGUAGGCUGGUUUUCCAGGCAAAUCCGGAAAAUCAAGGCUGAGGCGUGAUGACGAGGCACUACGGUGCUGAAGCAACAAAUGCCCUGCUUCCAGGAAAAGCCUCUAAGCAUCAGGUAACAUCAAAUCGUACCCCAAACCGACACAGGUGGUCAGGUAGAGAAUACCAAGGCGCUUGAGAGAACUCGGGUGAAGGAACUAGGCAAAAUGGUGCCGUAACUUCGGGAGAAGGCACGCUGAUAUGUAGGUGAAGUCCCUCGCGGAUGGAGCUGAAAUCAGUCGAAGAUACCAGCUGGCUGCAACUGUUUAUUAAAAACACAGCACUGUGCAAACACGAAAGUGGACGUAUACGGUGUGACGCCUGCCCGGUGCCGGAAGGUUAAUUGAUGGGGUUAGCGGUAACGCGAAGCUCUUGAUCGAAGCCCCGGUAAACGGCGGCCGUAACUAUAACGGUCCUAAGGUAGCGAAAUUCCUUGUCGGGUAAGUUCCGACCUGCACGAAUGGCGUAAUGAUGGCCAGGCUGUCUCCACCCGAGACUCAGUGAAAUUGAACUCGCUGUGAAGAUGCAGUGUACCCGCGGCAAGACGGAAAGACCCCGUGAACCUUUACUAUAGCUUGACACUGAACAUUGAGCCUUGAUGUGUAGGAUAGGUGGGAGGCUUUGAAGUGUGGACGCCAGUCUGCAUGGAGCCGACCUUGAAAUACCACCCUUUAAUGUUUGAUGUUCUAACGUUGACCCGUGAUCCGGGUUGCGGACAGUGUCUGGUGGGUAGUUUGACUGGGGCGGUCUCCUCCUAAAGAGUAACGGAGGAGCACGAAGGUUGGCUAAUCCUGGUCGGACAUCAGGAGGUUAGUGCAAUGGCAUAAGCCAGCUUGACUGCGAGCGUGACGGCGCGAGCAGGUGCGAAAGCAGGUCAUAGUGAUCCGGUGGUUCUGAAUGGAAGGGCCAUCGCUCAACGGAUAAAAGGUACUCCGGGGAUAACAGGCUGAUACCGC
This 1957-nucleotide ribosomal RNA is filed under the name Escherichia coli. Its description in RNAcentral is "partial 23S ribosomal RNA". It matches the Rfam family "Bacterial large subunit ribosomal RNA", at positions 550 to 2491 of the family's 2925-position model. Lineage: Bacteria; Pseudomonadati; Pseudomonadota; Gammaproteobacteria; Enterobacterales; Enterobacteriaceae. The record is from RNAcentral.